AUUGAACGCUGGCGGCAGGCCUAACACAUGCAAGUCGAGCGGAUGAAGGGAGCUUGCUCCUGGAUUCAGCGGCGGACGGGUGGGUAAUGCCUAGGAAUCUGCCUGGUAGUGGGGGAUAACGUCAGGAAAUGGGCGCUAAUACCGCAUACGUCCUGAGGGAGAAAGUGGGGGAUCUUCGGACCUCACGCUCUCAGAUGAGCCUAGGUCGGAUUAGCUAGUUGGUGGGGUAAAGGCCUACCAAGGCGACGAUCCGUAGCUGGUCUGAGAGGAUGAUCAGUCACACUGGAACUGAGACACGGUCCAGACUCCUACGGGAGGCAGCAGUGGGGAAUAUUGGACAAUGGGCGAAAGCCUGAUCCAGCCAUGCCGCGUGUGUGAAGAAGGUCUUCGGAUUGUAAAGCACUUUAAGUUGGGAGGAAGGGCAGUAAGUUAAUACCUUGCUGUUUUGACGUCACCAACAGAAUAAGCACCGGCUAACUUCGUG
RNAcentral lists this ribosomal RNA (484 nucleotides) under uncultured bacterium. RNAcentral's name for it is "partial 16S ribosomal RNA". It matches the Rfam family "Bacterial small subunit ribosomal RNA", at positions 30 to 507 of the family's 1533-position model. The record is from RNAcentral.